Molecule: long non-coding RNA, 1941 nt
Organism: Physeter macrocephalus (sperm whale)
Lineage: Eukaryota; Metazoa; Chordata; Mammalia; Artiodactyla; Physeteridae
Exons: 3
Source: RefSeq, a predicted model, not a curated record
AUUACUCUGGUGUGCCUUAAAUGUGAUUUCCUAACUGAUUCUUCUGGUUUAGAUCUUAUGGCUAAACACUUAAUUCAACGUAAAACUCAUACUUGCCAAGUUAUAACAGAGAAUGUUCCUGGAAGUAUCUCAGCUUCUGGACCCACUUCUGCCCGCUUGUUGAAAUAGAUUCCUGCUCUAUGGAGCUCGUGCAACCUGGUGCAAGACAAGUUGGAAUUUCCUAAGUUCAAAGUUCUGAAGUGUUUUCUUACACAAAGGCAUUUUCCUAAGUUCAAAGUUCUGAAGUGUUUUCUCAUACGAAGGCGGUUUAACAGCCAAGUUCAUGACACUAGUUCUCAUUAUUCAGCUCUUUUCAGCUUUCAGAUGGCACUAGAGUCUUAUUCCACCUUAUCUUUGUGUCAGGUUAACAUAUCUUAACAUAUGCUUUUCUCUCCAGUUGGCUCUCUUCAAAAAUAACUUUUGUUGCUAUGGUCUUUUCUUGCUUUGCUUAAAAUAAUUUGUGUUUUUCUCUGCUGUACUUGCUUUCAGAAUAUUGCAUUCCAAAAGAUGUGACUGUUCAUCUUUUUUUGUCUGUUUUGUCUGGUUUCUUAGUUAAUUUCUUAUAAGUCUUACAAUUUUAGGUCAGAUAGCUGUCUUUUUCCUCAUUCCUUGUCUGUCAUUGUUCUAUUUUUCAUAUUUUUCAGAUGCAGAAGCAACACAGACAUUUCAAAAAAAGUCCAGGGUACUCCUGGUCAGUGUCCCCCUUCGAUGGACACAUCUGAUGCCUGUUCUCUCUUUCCAAGGAAUGUGAAUUGUUUGACUGUGAGACCUCCUCUAGGUUGUGGCCUUAAGAAAUCAGAUCUUAGGGAGAGUCCGUUUCUUCAUGACUGGCCUCCCAUAAGACUGAUGCUAAUGUGGCCAGAGAUGACCUCAAGGCCCACCAAAUUGAGCACAACUUCCCACUGGGGGCUUUGGUUCUUUUUUUUUUUUUUUUUUUUUUUUUUGGUGGUACGUGGGUCUCUCACCGCUGGGGCCUCUCCCACUGUGGAGCACAGGCUCCGGAUGCGCAGGCCCAGUGGCCAGAGGGCAGGCCCAAUGGCCCACAGGCCCAGCUGCUCCGCGGCAUGCGGGAUCCCCCCGGACCGGGGCACGAACCUGUGUCCCCUGCAUCAGCAGGCGGACUCUCAACCACCGUGCCACCAGGGAAGCUGGGGCUUUGGUUCUUGAUCUUAAGCCUAUGGGUUGAUUCUGACCAAGGAAAAAGCCCAUCAAAUCAGUGCUUCAACAUCCAAGUUGAAGUUUAAUCAUUUUGGCUGCUGCCCUUUAAUCUUUCUCUAGCAUGCAUGCAGUCCAAGGAAUAUAAAAACUGGUUAUGUAGGGAACCAAGGUUAUUUUCUUGUUCUUGGAAAACAAAUUUCUAAAAUUACAGUUCUAAAAUUAGUUAUUUUUUCUGUCAUUUAAAGUUUUAUGCAGUGUUAAGGAGUUUUCAGCAAUACUAAUAUUCAAUUUUUUUAAGUCUAAUUUAAUUUUGUUAUCUUGGUUUUUAUGUUGUCUUCACCAAAUUUAUUUACGUCCGUUUUGUUAUGUCCUCUCUUAUUUCUUUUCUUUAAAACUUGUUUUGUGUUUGUUUUGUUUCAUUAAUAACUCCCCCCAAAAUUCUUAACAUUCUCCACAGAUUUUAUGUAGCUACCUAUUGGUAGCUUCUUAAUUUGGUAAUUGUUUAGACCCUUAGACAUUAUUAUAUCCUCUGUCUAUCUUGGGACUAUCCUUAAAAUUAUCUUAGUGAUUGUGAGGUCAGAGACAUAAAGAAUUGGCAAAAAACACUUCCUACAGACCUUAAAACAAAUUUUAAAGUUACAUUUUCUGUACAUCUAACACAUAAUGUCUUCUUAGCCCUUAAUAUAACUCCUUUGGAUAAAGAUAAUAUAUCCAGAAAAUAUUGGGACCAAAAACUGCACUUGU